RNAcentral lists this long non-coding RNA (353 nucleotides) under Monodelphis domestica (gray short-tailed opossum). RNAcentral describes it as "lncRNA (ENSMODG00000040479.1)". Lineage: Eukaryota; Metazoa; Chordata; Mammalia; Didelphimorphia; Didelphidae. The record is from RNAcentral.
CUUUUAAGGAGGAGCAGACCACCUGCUCUACAAAGAUGGGGACAUGACUGUCAUUUGUUUGGUGAGCAGAUGUGCCAGCUACCCAGAGGGGACAGUCAUGGUACUUGGUGAGAUUCUGCCAGGAAAUGGUCCCCCUGCCUCCACUGGGGCAGGUAUGGAGAGCAGCCAUAGCCCAAGGGAGGAAGAAUGAACAUAGUGCUCCCUCCUCCUCAUUCCCUCUCCCAAAGGUCAGAAUAGUAGAAGAACCGAUGACCCACACUCAUAACAGUGAAACUUGCUGGGGAAUCGGAGGGAAUUCUUUGUGCCAACAAAAUCACAGAGCUGUCCUUUUUCUUGUAAUGAAGCUGAGAUAA